RNAcentral lists this ribosomal RNA (433 nucleotides) under uncultured bacterium. RNAcentral's name for it is "partial 16S ribosomal RNA". It matches the Rfam family "Bacterial small subunit ribosomal RNA", at positions 29 to 507 of the family's 1533-position model. The record is from RNAcentral.
AACGAACGCUGGCGGCAUGCCUAACACAUGCAAGUCGAACGAGACCUUCGGGUCUAGUGGCGCACGGGUGCGUAACGCGUGGGAACCUGCCUUUAGGUUCGGAAUAACUCAGAGAAAUUUGAGCUAAUACCGGAUGAUGUCUUCGGACCAAAGAUUUAUCGCCUUUAGAUGGGCCCGCGUUGGAUUAGCUAGUUGGUGGGGUAAAGGCCUACCAAGGCGACGAUCCAUAGCUGGUCUGAGAGGAUGAUCAGCCACACUGGGACUGAGACACGGCCCAGACUCCUACGGGAGGCAGGCGUUGGGAAUAUUGGAAAAUGGGCGAAAGCCUGAUCCAGCAAUGCCGCGGGAGUGAUGAAGGCCUUAGGGUUGUAAAGCUCUUUUACCCGAGAUGAUAAUGACAGUAUCGGGAGAAUAAGCUCCGGCUAACUCCGUG